RNAcentral lists this ribosomal RNA (1428 nucleotides) under Hormosianoetus mallotae. RNAcentral's name for it is "eukaryotic LSU rRNA". It matches the Rfam family "Eukaryotic large subunit ribosomal RNA", at positions 73 to 1269 of the family's 3401-position model. The record is from RNAcentral. Lineage: Eukaryota; Metazoa; Arthropoda; Arachnida; Sarcoptiformes; Histiostomatidae.
GAUUCCCUUAGUAACGGCGAGCGAACAGGGAUGAGCCCAGCGCCAAGUUUCAACACUCGACGUGUUUGAAAGAUGCGGCGUUGAUACGUCUGUGUAUCGUCUACUGACACGUAUUUCAAGUUCCCUUGACAGGGACUCCCAGAGUGGGUGCUAGGCCCAUAGRGAUAUGAGUCUGGUAGACGCAAACAGGCGUAUUCUAGAGUCAGGUUGCUUGAGAGUGCAGCCUAAAGCAGGUGGUAAACUCCAUCUAAGGCUAAAUAUUACAGCGAGACCGAUAGCAAACAAGUACUGUGAAGGAAAGUUGCAAAGAACUUUGAAGAGAGAGUUCAACAGGACGUGAAACCACUAACAGGCAAACGGAUGGAACCACGAAGUAUGCCUGACACACAAUUCAGCCAURWUCAUUGAUGAUCUGUGCGUUUAAUGGGCCCGAUUUGGGUUAUAAGCGUACAAAUUUGUGUCAAUGAUUACGGUGCAUUUUGUUAGUGUCAGUGCUAAAGCCACGUCUAAUUGAAUGACUGAAACGGUURUAGUAUUGAUCGGCAGGAAGGUAACUUGAAACUUUCGGGUUUAARGUGUUAUAGCCUGCCGAUUGGACCGUUAUCGAGUGUAUCGAUUAGUAAAAGUUCUCUAGCAAUAGAGUUUGUUGGUUGCCUGCCAAUGUGCGCCUUGCACUGUCGUAUGAUCGUUCUUUUGCGUCUUCGUGAUGUACAAAGGCGACUGUAUGUGCGRUGUCUGUGCGUGCAUUGUUGCAGUGUAGCUUUCAACAGUGGCCCGAGUAGGUCGGUGUCCAUCCGACCCGUCUUGAAACACGGACCAAGGAGCCUACCAUACACGCGAGUCGCUCGGUCUUGUUUAGGCCCGGGAGGCGUAAUGAAAGUAAAGCUACGAGGCUGUAACAGGUCGCAGUAGCAGCCCGCCGGCUUUCUUUAUCGGGAAUAUGGCGGAGCCGGAGCGUGCACGGUGGUACCCGAAAGAUGGUGAACUAUGCCUGGGCAAGAUGAAGUCAGAGGAAACUCUGAUGGAGGUCUGUAGCGAUUCUGACGUGCAAAUCGAUCGUCAGACCUGGGUAUAGGGGCGAAAGACUAAUCGAACCAUCUAGUAGCUGGUUCCCUUCGAAGUUUCCCUCAGGAUAGCAGGCGCUCGAUGAGACAGUCUCAUCCGGUAAAGCUAAUGAUUAGAGGUCUUGGGAGCGAAACGCUCUCAACCUAUUCUCAAACUUUAAAUGGGUGAGAUGCUCGACUCGCUUAACUGGAGCCGAGCAAUUGGAUGUGUGGGCGCCUAGUGGGCCAGCUUUGGUAAGCAGAACUGGCGCUGUGGGAUGAACCAAACGUCGAGUUAAGGCAUCAAAUGUGUACGCUCAUGAGAUCCCAGAAAAGGUGUUGGUUGCUAUAGACAGCAGGACGGUGGCCAUGGAAGUCGGAAUCC